AAAAACCUUAAAAUUAGAACCCUAAACCCUAAACUCAAAAUAUUUAACCCUAAACCUUUAGGCUGCAUUCUCUUUACUGUUUUUAAUCCAUUUUCUAUUUUCGAUUUUUGAAAAUAGUGAAAACGCGUUCUCUUCUCCGUUUUCCAAAACGAAUUUUCGAAAAAAAAAAUUGUAAAGAAAACACAAAACGUCAAAAUUGAUGCUUUUGAUGCUUUCUGUACAAAAUCCAAAAAAGAUUGAAAAUGCACAAAACAGGAGAGAGAAAUCCUUUAAAACCGUAUCCCUUUCUCUCUUCCGUAUCCCUUUCUAUUUUCCUUCAACCCACUGUUUCUCCUCUUCUUCUGGACGUCGGCUGAGCGUUGGGAGGCGAUGAAGGUGAGUGCCGAUGCCGGAGCCGGCGUGGGGAGGCGACGCUGCUGUGAACAAUAGCGUCGCGAUAGUUCAAAGCAGCGUCGAGACAGAUUCGUUCGCCUGUCUCCAUCUCCUCUCUCUUCGACGGUGACUACGGUUUGGGGUGGAGGCAAAGUAGGCGUUGAUUUUUGUUGAUUUUGGAUUGAUUUUUGUUGAUUUUGGAUUCUACAUUUCUCAGUGGUGGUGUUGAUUUUUGGUUGAUUUUUGGUGUUGAUUUAGGUGGCAGUGCGGUUGAUUUAGGUUGAUGGUUGUGUCGUGGUGGUUGAUUUUGAGCAGAAAUUCUGGUGCGGCGGUGGUUAAUUUCGGUGGUCGACUGGCUGAUUUUGAGCAGAAUUUUCAGCCAGACUAGCCGGAAUUAGGGCCAACUGUUGGGUGGGUUUGUAGACAACAUUGCGGGCUUCAAGUUGGUACUAUGAUCCGGUGGCUAUGGUGGCCGAAAGUGGUGUUUUGACCCUCCAUAGGUGGCAUGGAGUUGAUGGUUGAGUGGUGGCGGUGUUGAGAGAUAAGAGUUGAAUUUAGGGUUCGAAGUGAAUGCGUUUUUGAGUUUCGUGUUUUGAGAAAGAGUUUUCUAAAAUAACAACAAGAAAGAGUUUUUAAUAUUCUCAAAAUGGACACUCAAAACACAAAACUAAAACACAAAGAGAAUAAGCCCUUAACUUUUUCAAACGUCAAUUUGGUCAUUUAAAUAUUAUUUAGAAAGUGGUGUUUUGACCCUCCAUAGGUGGCAUGGAGUUGAUGGUUGAGUGGUGGCGGUGUUGAGAGAUAAGAGUUGAAUUUAGGGUUCGAAGUGAAUGCGUUUUUGAGUUUC
This 1219-nucleotide long non-coding RNA is filed under the name Olea europaea (common olive). RNAcentral describes it as "long non-coding RNA (OEUR_LNC007097)". Lineage: Eukaryota; Viridiplantae; Streptophyta; Magnoliopsida; Lamiales; Oleaceae. The record is from RNAcentral.